This 25-nucleotide non-coding RNA is filed under the name Mus musculus (house mouse). The record is from RNAcentral. Lineage: Eukaryota; Metazoa; Chordata; Mammalia; Rodentia; Muridae.
UCUCUUUUGGAUGUUUCCAUCCUGU